This 233-nucleotide long non-coding RNA is filed under the name Carica papaya (papaya). RNAcentral describes it as "long non-coding RNA (CPAP_LNC011707)". Lineage: Eukaryota; Viridiplantae; Streptophyta; Magnoliopsida; Brassicales; Caricaceae. The record is from RNAcentral.
UCUAUCGUGGACGUUACCUUUAACUGUACGGGGUUAGGAAGUCCCAUACCAGAUGAAGUUAGGAGUUUAUAAGUGUCGGUAAUACCAAACAGACCAUUGAGGCGGUUUUUAGCUGUAACACCCAAUACUGGACGGGGUAUGGGAACGAUGGUUUGAUUGCAAGAAAGUUUUUAUAUCCACGUGUAGCAGGGGAUCUAUGGACCCCUAGUGACACCGGUAAGGAAAGGUAAAAU